GGGGAUUUAGCUCAGCAGCAUAAGUGCCUGCCUUGCAAGCAGGCAGUCAUAGGUUCGAUCCCCAGUACCCA
RNAcentral lists this transfer RNA (71 nucleotides) under Cavia porcellus (domestic guinea pig). It matches the Rfam family "tRNA". From Rfam's summary of the family: Transfer RNA (tRNA) molecules are approximately 80 nucleotides in length. Their secondary structure includes four short double-helical elements and three loops (D, anti-codon, and T loops). Further hydrogen bonds mediate the characteristic L-shaped molecular structure. tRNAs have two regions of fundamental functional importance: the anti-codon, which is responsible for specific mRNA codon recognition, and the 3' end, to which the tRNAs corresponding amino acid is attached (by aminoacyl-tRNA synthetases). tRNAs cope with the degeneracy of the genetic code in two manners: having more than one tRNA (with a specific anti-codon) for a particular amino acid; and 'wobble' base-pairing, i.e. permitting non-standard base-pairing at the 3rd anti-codon position. The record is from Rfam by way of RNAcentral. Lineage: Eukaryota; Metazoa; Chordata; Mammalia; Rodentia; Caviidae.